AGGACUAACGCUGGCGGCGUGCCUAACACAUGCAAGUCGAGCGGGGUAGCAAUACCCAGCGGCAGACGGGUGAGUAACGCGUGGUCAACCUUCCGUUGAAUGGGGGAUAACUAGCCGAAAGGUUAGCUAAUACCGCAUACGAUCUUUUGAAGGCAUCUUUAAAAGAUGAAAGGAGCAAUUCGUUCAACGACGGGACCGCGUCCCAUUAGCUAGAUGGUGGGGUAAUGGCCUACCAUGGCAACGAUGGGUAGCUGGUUUGAGAGAGCGACCAGCCACACUAGGACUGAGAAACGGCCCAGACUCCUACGGGAGGCAGCAGUGAGGAAUUUUCCGCAAUGGGCGAAAGCCUGACGGAGCGACGCCGCGUGUGGGAAGAAGGCCUUCGGGUCGUAAACCACUGUCGAAGGGGACGAUAAUGACGGUACCCUUGGAGGAAGCCCCGGCUAACUACGUGCCAGCAGCCGC
Molecule: ribosomal RNA, 465 nt
Filed under: uncultured bacterium
Lineage: Bacteria
Description: SSU rRNA
Rfam family: Bacterial small subunit ribosomal RNA
Source: RNAcentral